This 119-nucleotide ribosomal RNA is filed under the name Pteropus alecto (black flying fox). The record is from RNAcentral. Lineage: Eukaryota; Metazoa; Chordata; Mammalia; Chiroptera; Pteropodidae.
GUCUACGGCCAUGCCACCCUGAACACGCCCGAUCUUGUCUGAUCUCGGAAGCUAAGCAGGGUUGAGCCUGGUUAGUACUUGGUUGGGAGACCACCUAGAAAUACCAGGUGCUAUAGGUG